AGAGUUAGUGGCGGACGGGUGAGUAACACGUGGGAACGUGCCUUUUGGUUCGGAAUAACUCAGGGAAACUUGUGCUAAUACCGAAUGUGCCCUUCGGGGGAAAGAUUUAUCGCCAUUAGAGCGGCCCGCGUCUGAUUAGCUAGUUGGUGAGGUAAAGGCUCACCAAGGCGACGAUCAGUAGCUGGUCUGAGAGGAUGAUCAGCCACAUUGGGACUGAGACACGGCCCAAACUCCUACGGGAGGCAGCAGUGGGGAAUCUUGCGCAAUGGGCGAAAGCCUGACGCAGCCAUGCCGCGUGAAUGAUGAAGGUCUUAGGAUUGUAAAAUUCUUUCACCGGGGACGAUAAUGACGGUACCCGGAGAAGAAGCCCCGGCUAACUUCGUGCCAGCAGCCGCGGUAAUACGAAGGGGGCUAGCGUUGCUCGGAAUUACUGGGCGUAAAGGGAGCGUAGGCGGACAUUUAAGUCAGGGGUGAAAUCCCGGGGCUCAACCUCGGAAUUGCCUUUGAUACUGGGUGUCU
This 519-nucleotide ribosomal RNA is filed under the name Brevundimonas sp. RNAcentral's name for it is "bacterial SSU rRNA". It matches the Rfam family "Bacterial small subunit ribosomal RNA", at positions 88 to 642 of the family's 1533-position model. The record is from RNAcentral. Lineage: Bacteria; Pseudomonadati; Pseudomonadota; Alphaproteobacteria; Caulobacterales; Caulobacteraceae.